UACGGGGGGAGCAAGCGUUGUCCGGAAUUACUGGGCGUAAAGAGCUCGUAGGUGGUUUGUCGCGUUGUUCGUGAAAUCUCACGGCUUAACUGUGAGCGUGCGGGCGAUACGGGCAGACUAGAGUACUGCAGGGGAGACUGGAAUUCCUGGUGUAGCGGUGGAAUGCGCAGAUAUCAGGAGGAACACCGGUGGCGAAGGCGGGUCUCUGGGCAGUAACUGACGCUGAGGAGCGAAAGCGUGGGGAGCGAACAGG
Molecule: ribosomal RNA, 253 nt
Filed under: uncultured bacterium
Lineage: Bacteria
Description: partial 16S ribosomal RNA
Rfam family: Bacterial small subunit ribosomal RNA
Source: RNAcentral